Molecule: small nucleolar RNA, 210 nt
Filed under: Meloidogyne incognita (southern root-knot nematode)
Lineage: Eukaryota; Metazoa; Nematoda; Chromadorea; Rhabditida; Meloidogynidae
Also listed under: 2 other names
Description: Small nucleolar RNA U3
Rfam family: Small nucleolar RNA U3
About the family: Small nucleolar RNAs (snoRNAs) are involved in the processing and modification of rRNA in the nucleolus.
Source: Rfam by way of RNAcentral
GGGACUGUACUUCUCAGGAUCAUUUCUGUAGUACGUAUUCCUUUGCGGAGACGCAAACUGCUUCACAAAGCACCCUCGAUGACGAGUUUAGGCGUUGUCCCCUGAGCGUGAAGCUUGUUGGGACGUUGCCAAAUUUUUGGAUGCCCUGACGUUGAAGACCGUCAGCUGGCCCUUUUGGGUCGGCUAUGGGGGCAACGCUCUCUGAGCGGG